GACGAACGCUGGCGGCGUGCUUAACACAUGCAAGUCGAACGGAAAGGCCCUGCUUUUGUGGGGUGCUCGAGUGGCGAACGGGUGAGUAACACGUGAGUAACCUGCCCUUGACUUUGGGAUAACUUCAGGAAACUGGGGCUAAUACCGGAUAGGAGCUCCUGCUGCAUGGUGGGGGUUGGACAGUUUCGGCGGUUGGGGAUGGACUCGCGGCUUAUCAGCUUGUUGGUGGGGUAGUGGCUUACCAAGGCUUUGACGGGUAGCCGGCCUGAGAGGGUGACCGGCCACAUUGGGACUGAGAUACGGCCCAGACUCCUACGGGAGGCAGCAGUGGGGAAUAUUGCACAAUGGGCGGAAGCCUGAUGCAGCAGCGCCGCGUGCGGGAUGACGGCCUUCGGGUUGUAAACCGCUUUCGCCUGUGACGAAGCGUGAGUGACGGUAAUGGGUAAAGAAGCACCGGCUAACUACGUG
RNAcentral lists this ribosomal RNA (468 nucleotides) under uncultured bacterium. RNAcentral's name for it is "partial 16S ribosomal RNA". It matches the Rfam family "Bacterial small subunit ribosomal RNA", at positions 28 to 507 of the family's 1533-position model. The record is from RNAcentral.